RNAcentral lists this small nuclear RNA (327 nucleotides) under Panthera tigris altaica (Amur tiger). RNAcentral's name for it is "7SK RNA (ENSPTIG00000000140.1)". It matches the Rfam family "7SK RNA". Rfam says of the family: 7SK was discovered as an abundant small nuclear RNA in the mid-70s but a possible function has only recently been suggested. Two independent studies have found that 7SK RNA binds the CDK9/cyclin T complex (known as elongation factor P-TEFb). Lineage: Eukaryota; Metazoa; Chordata; Mammalia; Carnivora; Felidae. The record is from RNAcentral.
GGAUGUGAGGGCGAUCUGGCUGCGACAUCUGUCACCCCAUUGAUCGCCAGGGUUGAUUCGGCUGAUCUGGCUGGCUAGGCAGGUGUCCCCUUCCUCCCUCACCACUCCAUGUGCGUCCCUCCCAAAGCUGCGCGCUCGGUCGAAGAGGACGACCUUCCCCGAUAGAGGAGGACCGUUCUUCGGUCAAGGGUAUACGAGUAGCUGCACUCCCCUGCUAGAACCUCCAAACAAGCUCUCAAGGUCCAUUUGUAGGAGAAAGUAGGGUAGUCAAGCUUCCAAGACUCCAGACACAUCCAAAUGAGGCGCUGCACGUGGCAGUCUGCCUUU